AGCAGCCGCGGUAAUUCCAGCUCCAAUAGCGUAUAUUAAAGUUGUUGCAGUUAAAAAGCUCGUAGUUGAAUUUCGGGAUCAAUACGUUGGUCGUGCUUUCGGGUACGUACUGGCGUCAUUGGUUUCUCUCUUCUGACGAACCAUGAUGUCAUUAGUUUGGUGUUAUGGGUAGUUAGGACUGUUACUUUGAAAAAAUUAGAGUGUUUAAAGCAGGCAUUAGCUUGAAUACAUUAGCAUGGAAUAAUGAAAUAGGACGUUUGAUCCUAUUUUGUUGGUUUCUAGGAUCGACGUAAUGGUUAAUAGGGAUAGUUGGGGGCAUUAGUAUUCAAUUGUCAGAGGUGAAAUUCUUGGAUUUAUUGAAGACUAACUACUGCGAAAGCAUUUGCCAAGGAUGUUUUCAUUAAUCAAGAACGAAAGUUAGGGGAUCGAAGACGAUCAGAUACCGUCGUAGUCUUAACCAUAAACUAUGCCGACUAGGGAUCGGAUGAUGUUAAUUUUUUAAUGACUCAUUCGGCGCCUU
This 520-nucleotide unclassified non-coding RNA is filed under the name uncultured Glomus. RNAcentral's name for it is "SSU rRNA". It matches the Rfam family "Eukaryotic small subunit ribosomal RNA", at positions 569 to 1089 of the family's 1831-position model. The record is from RNAcentral. Lineage: Eukaryota; Fungi; Glomeromycota; Glomeromycetes; Glomerales; Glomeraceae.